GACAGAGGGUGCAAACGUUGUUCGGAAUUACUGGGCGUAAAGCGCGUGUAGGCGGCCAAGCAAGUCGGGUGUGAAAGCCCUCGGCUCAACCGAGGAAGUGCACUCGAAACUGCUUGGCUUGAGUCCCGGAGAGGAUAGUGGAAUUCUCGGUGUAGAGGUGAAAUUCGUAGAUAUCGAGAGGAACACCGGUGGCGAAGGCGGCUAUCUGGACGGUGACUGACGCUGAGACGCGAAAGCGUGGGGAGCAAACAGG
RNAcentral lists this ribosomal RNA (253 nucleotides) under uncultured bacterium. RNAcentral's name for it is "partial 16S ribosomal RNA". It matches the Rfam family "Bacterial small subunit ribosomal RNA", at positions 524 to 776 of the family's 1533-position model. The record is from RNAcentral.